This 483-nucleotide ribosomal RNA is filed under the name uncultured bacterium. RNAcentral describes it as "partial 16S ribosomal RNA". It matches the Rfam family "Bacterial small subunit ribosomal RNA", at positions 30 to 508 of the family's 1533-position model. The record is from RNAcentral.
AUUGAACGCUGGCGGCAUGCUUUACACAUGCAAGUCGAACGGUAACAGGCCGCGAGGUGCUGACGAGUGGCGAACGGGUGAGUAAUGCAUCGGAACGUGCCCAGUCGUGGGGGGUAACUACUCGAAAGAGUAGCUAAUACCGCAUACGAUCUAUGGAUGAAAGCGGGGGACCGUAAGGCCUCGCGCGAUUGGAGCGGCCGAUGUCAGAUUAGGUAGUUGGUGGGGUAAAGGCUCACCAAGCCAACGAUCUGUAGCUGGUCUGAGAGGACGACCAGCCACACUGGGACUGAGACACGGCCCAAACCCCUACGGGAGGCAGCCGUGGGGAAUUUUGGACAAUGGGCGCAAGCCUGAUCCAGCAAUGCCGGGUGCAGGAAGAAGGCCUUCGGGUUGUAAACUGCUUUUGUACGGAACGAAACGGCUCUGGUUAAUACCCGGGGCUAAUGACGGUACCGUAAGAAUAAGCACCGGCUAACUACGUGC